CCUACGGGUGGCAGCAGUGAGGAAUAUUGGUCAAUGGACGAGAGUCUGAACCAGCCAAGUAGCGUGAAGGAUGACUGCCCUAUGGGUUGUAAACUUCUUUUAUAUGGGAAUAAAAUGUUCCACGUGUGGGAUUUUGUAUGUACCAUAUGAAUAAGGAUCGGCUAACUCCGUGCCAGCAGCCGCGGUAAUACGGAGGAUCCGAGCGUUAUCCGGAUUUAUUGGGUUUAAAGGGAGCGUAGGGGGAUUGUUAAGUCAGUUGUGAAAGUUUGCGGCUCAACCGUAAAAUUGCAGUUGAAACUGGCAGUCUUGAGUACAGUAGAGGUGUGCGGAAUUCGUGGUGUAGCGGUGAAAUGCUUAGAUAUCACGAAGAACUCCGAUUGCGAAGGCAGUUCACUGGACUGCAACUGACACUGAGGCUCGAAAGUGUGGGUAUCAAACAGGAUUAGAUACCCCUGUAGUC
This 460-nucleotide ribosomal RNA is filed under the name uncultured bacterium. RNAcentral's name for it is "partial 16S ribosomal RNA". It matches the Rfam family "Bacterial small subunit ribosomal RNA", at positions 338 to 795 of the family's 1533-position model. The record is from RNAcentral.